RNAcentral lists this transfer RNA (67 nucleotides) under Largus sp. RNAcentral describes it as "tRNA-Arg". The record is from RNAcentral. Lineage: Eukaryota; Metazoa; Arthropoda; Insecta; Hemiptera; Largidae.
AAGUAAUGAAGUAAAAAUUACAAUUAGUUUCGACCUAAAAUUAGGGAUACUCCAAUCCCCUUACUUA